UACGUAUGGUGCAAGCGUUAUCCGGAUUUACUGGGUGUAAAGGGAGCGUAGACGGAUAGGCAAGUCUGGAGUGAAAGCCCGGGGCUCAACCCCGGGACUGCUUUGGAAACUGUUUAUCUAGAGUGCUGGAGAGGCAAGUGGAAUUCCUAGUGUAGCGGUGAAAUGCGUAGAUAUUAGGAGGAACACCAGUGGCGAAGGCGGCUUGCUGGACAGUAACUGACGUUGAGGCUCGAAAGCGUGGGGAGCAAACAGG
RNAcentral lists this ribosomal RNA (253 nucleotides) under uncultured bacterium. RNAcentral describes it as "partial 16S ribosomal RNA". It matches the Rfam family "Bacterial small subunit ribosomal RNA", at positions 524 to 776 of the family's 1533-position model. The record is from RNAcentral.